RNAcentral lists this ribosomal RNA (406 nucleotides) under uncultured bacterium. RNAcentral's name for it is "partial 16S ribosomal RNA". It matches the Rfam family "Bacterial small subunit ribosomal RNA", at positions 30 to 526 of the family's 1533-position model. The record is from RNAcentral.
AUUGAACGCUGGCGGCAGGCCUAACACAUGCAAGUCGAACGAGUGGCGGACGGGUGAGUAAUGUCUGGGAAACUGCCCGAUGGAGGGGGAUAACUACUGGAAACGGUAGCUAAUACCGCAUACCAUCGGAUGUGCCCAGAUGGGAUGAUAUAGUAGGUGGGGUAACGGCGAACCUAGGCGACGUUCCCUAGCUGGUCUGAGAGGAUGACCAGCCACACUGGAACUGAGACACGGUCCAGACUCCUACGGGAGGAAGCAGUGGGGAAUAUUGGGCAAUGGGCGGAAGCCUGAUGAAGCAAUGCCGCGUGUAUGAAGAAGGCCUUCGGGUUGUAAAGUACUUUCUGCGGGGAGGCGUUACUCGCAGAAGAAGCAUCGGCUAACGCCGUGCCAGCAGCCGCGGUAAUUC